AUGCAUGUUCCCCCACCUGUGGCCCUCCCCUGUGCUCACUUUCUUCCCUCGGCCGCCGGCCAAGUUCAGAAUUUUGGAGAACCUUUCUUUAUGGUUAUUCGUGAGGAUGAGACCUUAUCUUCUAUUAAAGAACGUUUACAGAAAAAGCUUAAGGUCUCAGAUGAGGAUUUCUCCAAGUGGAAAUUUGUGUACAUAUCCCUUGGUUGCCCAGACUAUUUUGAAGAUUCUGACACUGUAGCCACGAGAUUUCAGAGAUACAUGUAUCGAGCUUGGGCGCAGUAUCUUGGACUGGAGCACCCAGACACAGCGCCAAGAAAGGCACAUAGUGCUAACCAGGACUGGUUGCUCAAGUUAUUGACGGAGCCUGAGAAGUUCAUGUACAGCGACAACAACAAAGUUCAUGUUGUCAGAAAACUAAAGUCCAUGUAUAUGGAAGUUGAUGAUUGUUAUAGUCGAUUGAAGGGUGUUUUCCUUGAGAAUGGAACCUCAGAGGAAUUCUCGCUUCUUCUUCCACAGCUCGCGAGAUCAAAGGGCAUUGUCGACAAAGCUAAGCUCAAGAGUGCAACUUCAGUCGAAGAUAUGCAUUAG
RNAcentral lists this ribosomal RNA (588 nucleotides) under Triticum aestivum (bread wheat). RNAcentral's name for it is "partial small subunit ribosomal RNA". The record is from RNAcentral. Lineage: Eukaryota; Viridiplantae; Streptophyta; Magnoliopsida; Poales; Poaceae.